UAACUUCGGUUAAUUUUAGUGGCGGACGGGUGAGUAACACGUGAGAAUUCGCCUUUAGGAGGGGGAUAACGGAUGGAAACAUUCGCUAAAACCCCAUAUGCCCCUGGGUGAAACAGAGGAGAUAAGUAAUACUGACUCUUACCUCUGCCUGAAGAGAAGCUCGCGGCUGAUUAGCUAGUUGGUAGGGUAAAGGGCUACCAAGGCGACGAUCAGUAGCUGGUCUGAGAGGACGAUCAGCCACACUGGAACUGAGACACGGUCCAGACUCCUACGGGAGGCAGCAGUGAGGAAUUUUCUGCAAUGGGCGAAAGCCUGACAGAGCAAUACCGCGUGAGGGAUGAAGACUUACUGAGUUGUAAACCUCGGUACCUUAAGGAAGAAGAUCUGACGGUACUUAAGGUGGAAAGCAUCGGCUAACUCCGUGCCAGCAGCCGCGGUAAGACGGGGGAUGCAAGUGUUAUCCGGAUUUACUGGGCGUAAAGCGUCUGCAGGUGGUUUUCUAAGUCUACUGUUAAAUCUUGAGGCUCAACCUCAAAUCUGCAGUAGAAACUAGAAGACUUGAGUAUAGUAGGGGUAGAGGGAAUUUCCAGUGGAGCGGUGAAAUGCGUAGAUAUUGGAAAGAACACCGAUGGCGAAGGCACUCUACUGGGCUAUUACUGACACUCAGAGACGAAAGCUAGGGGAGCAAAUGGGAUUAGAUACCCCAGUAGUCCUAGCCGUAAACGAUGGAUACUCGAUGUUGGACGUAUCAACCCGUUCAGUAUCUUAGCUAACGCGUUAAGUAUCCCGCCUGGGGGAGUACGCUCGCAAGAGUGAAACUCAAAGGGAAAUUGACGGGGGGCCCGCACAAGCGGUGGAGGAUGUGGUUUUAAUUCCGAUGCAACCGCGAAGAACCUUUACCAGGGUUUGCCUAGAAGUGUUGGGUUUUCUGAAAAGAAUUCCCUUAUUCCCGCUUCUAC
RNAcentral lists this ribosomal RNA (959 nucleotides) under Nannochloropsis oceanica. Its description in RNAcentral is "bacterial SSU rRNA". It matches the Rfam family "Bacterial small subunit ribosomal RNA", at positions 75 to 1036 of the family's 1533-position model. Lineage: Eukaryota; Eustigmatophyceae; Eustigmatales; Monodopsidaceae. The record is from RNAcentral.